Molecule: transfer RNA, 73 nt
Filed under: Spirochaetales bacterium
Lineage: Bacteria; Pseudomonadati; Spirochaetota; Spirochaetia; Spirochaetales
Description: tRNA-Val
Rfam family: tRNA
About the family: Transfer RNA (tRNA) molecules are approximately 80 nucleotides in length. Their secondary structure includes four short double-helical elements and three loops (D, anti-codon, and T loops).
Source: RNAcentral
GGGCGCUUAGCUCAGCUGGUAGAGCGCUUGCCUUACAAGCAAGAUGUCGGCGGUUCAAACCCGUCAGCGCCCA